GACGAACGCUGGCGGCGUGCCUAAUACAUGCAAGUCGAACGCACUCUCGUUUAGAUUGAAGGAGUUUGCUCCUGAUUGAUAAACAUUUGAGUGAGUGGCGGACGGGUGAGUAACACGUGGGUAACCUGCCCUAAAGUGGGGGAUAACAUUUGGAAACAGAUGCUAAUACCGCAUAAAACCUAACACCGCAUGGUGUAGGGUUGAAAGAUGGUUUCGGCUAUCACUUUAGGAUGGACCCGCGGUGCAUUAGUUAGUUGGUGAGGUAAAGGCUCACCAAGACCGUGAUGCAUAGCCGACCUGAGAGGGUAAUCGGCCACACUGGGACUGAGACACGGCCCAGACUCCUACGGGAGGCAGCAGUAGGGAAUCUUCCACAAUGGACGAAAGUCUGAUGGAGCAACGCCGCGUGAGUGAAGAAGGUUUUCGGAUCGUAAAACUCUGUUGUUGGAGAAGAAUGUAUCUGAUAGUAACUGAUCAGGUAGUGACGGUACCCAUACAGAAAGCCACGGCUAACUACGUG
This 520-nucleotide ribosomal RNA is filed under the name uncultured bacterium. Its description in RNAcentral is "partial 16S ribosomal RNA". It matches the Rfam family "Bacterial small subunit ribosomal RNA", at positions 28 to 507 of the family's 1533-position model. The record is from RNAcentral.